AAAAAAAACAAAAACAAAAUUUAUGAACAAUUUGUUGACUCUGAAAUCUUCUUCUUCCUCUCCCAGCCGUGCUCUCCUCCUACCCAGCCGCGGCAUUCCCCCUAUCCGCCGUCGUCCCCUUCCUUCGCCGGUGCAAUCUCUUUUCGUUUUCGAUUUCCUAGCUGUCGCCUUCUAGCCACCUUGUAGUCGCCAUCGUCGUCGCUGUUCCCUGCCGCCUUUCAGUCACCGUCGUCUCCUCUCUCCCAGAAGCCUUGCAAUCGCCGACGUCGCCUCCCAGUCCUCUGCUAAGCCUCUCCUCGGCUUCUCAGUUCAGGACUUUCCUCAGUUUCGAGUUCGAUCAUGUCGAAGGACAAGGACUCUACCAAUUUGUCACGCACCUUCAAAUACCUCUUAGCUACUCAAUUCUUGUCAAGAGGAAUUCCAUUUAUAUUCAAUACAUGGAUUGUAAGGCAUCUUACACAAGAGGACUAUGCGCUAUAUGCAGUGCAGUUUCAUCUGUUUAUCACAUGUGUUUUAUUUCUUAGUCGGGAAGGCUUCCGGCGAGCAUGCUUGCGCAUGGAAAUGCAAAGUGAUGGCAAUACAAAAGAUGUUGUGAAGCUAAUGAAAGUGGUGUGGAUGAGUUUCCCGCUUGGAAUAUUUAUUACAAUAGUGGCAUGCUCUUUUGUUCUAUGGUUGCAAGGCCUAAGUUAUUCUAGUUCACUUGGGCAAGCUGUCUUGAUAAAUGGUCUUGCAUGCAUUUUGGAGCUUUUAGCUGAGCCUUUGUAUAUUCUUUCACAGAACUUGGUCUUGCUUGAAUUAAGAUUGAUGGUUGAGACAGUAGCUACUAUUUCACGAUGCUUGACAAUGUACUUUCUACUUGUCAAGAAAUCUCAAAUGGAAAAACCAAUCAUAUUUGCAUUAUCACAAUCUGCGUAUGGAGCCUGCUUAUUUAUUGGUUACUGGGGUUAUCUCAUUCUAUUCAGCAAAUUCAAAUGUUCUUACCUUUUCCCAUUCAGAGAAGGAAAACUGAUUGACUUUGAUAAGCAGCUGUCCAAGAUGUGCAUGUUGUUUACCUUUCAAUCUUAUCAAAAGUUGAUUCUUCAGGAAGGAGAAAAAAUGGUGCUUGUGUGGUUGGAUACACCAUAUAAUCAAGCAGUGUAUGGUCUUGUGGACAAAUUAGGUAGCUUAGUGGUGAGACUAGUCUUUUUACCUUUUGAAGAAAGUUCAUAUGUAACCUUUGCAAGGUCUGCUUCAGGACAAUAUCCAGGGAAGAGCAAGAAAUUAGGAAACUGCUUGAUGGAGUCCCUCAAGUUAGUUUUGUUGAUUGGCCUUGUCUUUAUGGCAUUUGGUCCAAGUUAUUCUUAUUCGCUCAUUAGAUUGCUGUAUGGUGAAAAAUGGAGUGAUGGGGAAGCGUCAACUGCUCUCCGCUACUACUGCCUUUAUGUCAUUGUCUUGGCUAUCAAUGGAACAUCUGAAGCCUUCUUGCAUUCAGUUGCAACAGAGAGCCAACUAAAGCGUUCAAAUCAUUCAUUAGUUGUAUUCUCGGUGAUCUAUGUAGUUUUGAAUGUCCUGCUAAUAAGAAUAGCUGGGGCAGUUGGCUUAAUUAUGGCAAAUUCUCUCAAUAUGACCUUGAGGAUUUCAUACUCUGCUGUAUUCAUUAAAAAUUAUUUCAAGGAAUCUUCCUCAUUUUCAUUCUCGAGCUGCUUGCCUUCAGGAUGGACUUUUCUGUUAAUUUCAGGUGUAAUCACUCUCAUUUCUGAGAAUAUAUUUCUGGACCAAGAAAACUUCUGGCCAACAUUCAUGAUCCAUUUGUCUGUUGGGCUGGCUUGCUUCUGCAUUUCAUCUUAUGUGAUCUACCAACGGGAAAAACCGUUCAUCAAAAGGAUUAUUCGUUUUCGUGAUCACUCAGACUGAAGAUUUUUGCAAAUUUACCUGUAUGGCAGAGGAAAGAGCAUGGAUUACCAGGUAGUUUUCUGUGGCAUGAUAUGUUCACCCAUGCCAAUAGAAGAAUACUAACUAUUGAAUCUGAUUGAGCAGUUUGUAACAAAGAAAAUUAGUUGGUUUGUUGAGAUAAUAACCAAAAAGGAGGAGAAUGGAACCGCGGUGGAUCUAACUCGCUGACUAAAAUUUGUAAUACACAACACAACAAAUGUGGACGUGUAAGGCUACAAGAGAUCAUAAAUCGAGUUAACCUUCUAGCCAGAUUCAGGUCAGUUGAAAACUAACUAAAUGGGUGUGCUACUGUGCUCACAUUUUCUAAUCUGAUACGCUAAAAAUAUCAUCCCAUCCCGUUUUAUUUGUACGUAUCACACACUCCAAAUAAUGCGGAAUUGCUGAAAUUUUGAAGUAAAACAAAACUUGGGAAAUUCUCGAUUGUUUAUCCAAUAUACUUAGGGCUAAAAGCCUGUGGAAUGAUUAAAAAUUAAUAGAGUAUGGUGAGUAUAGGUGAAAAGUGAGAGAAAAUGAAUAACAUACAAAGGAAAAUGGCCAACUAAGACACCUGAAAGUAGUGAAGAUUGAUCGAGGUGUAUUUGAUAUCGCCGCUUUAUUUGAUGUUUGUAGGGAUAAAAUUUGCAGCAAUUAUACUAAUCAGAUGAAGGGGAAAAAACAAAUAAUAAAAUUGAAAACCUUCACUACCAAACAAGAAAAAAUAUAAAGCUUAAUCCCAAUUUAUAAUCUAAAACGUGAAGAUAGCGGCGGAGGUAAUUUUCUCUUCACUGAUAUGAAAUUUGCUAUACAUCACUUUCCAAAAACGAAAGAAUGGAAAAUAAAAUAUUUUUGAGGAGUAAGCUUUUGAUUAAGGUAGGGUUUGAGCAUCUGGUUUUUGUCCUGGGAAGUAAAAAUGGAGAUAGUGUAGUAAAAAGUAAAUACCACAUUUUUUUUGUUUCUUCUUGUUAGAGUCUUAGAGAUGUAAAAAUUAGUUUUAAAAUUUUUACUGAGAUAGUCUCUUGUAAAAAUUGCUUGAGAUAGAUUUUUUUUUAAAUAUUUUUUCUUUUACUGUCUCUAUCCCCUUCUCCAAACAAACAAACCUCAAUGUAGCAAAUGGGAUAGGGAGAGAAUCUUAAAAGUCAAAACCAAUUCACAAAAAGCAGAACAGUGAUGAAGGAGACGGUCAGAAAGAAACAAAGGUUAUGAUUCAUAGGACACCCACUCUGCCACGAGUAUGUUGGUUGGCCUCCAUUGUCACUAGAAACGACCAACAAUGGUAAUUAUAAGCUUUGAAAGCUGAAGAAAAGUUGAAAGAGCGUAGGGGGGAAAAUAUGAAGCUUAUUAUUAACUUGUAGACUAGGCUUCCAUAAUGGACGAGUAUCCAACAAAGAAAAUAAGUAUAAAGUGAGCUCCAUUUUCUUAAACAACAUUAUGCUAUUUUUUGAGUUUUCAUCUUUGCUUAAUA
Molecule: RNA transcript, 3373 nt
Organism: Arachis duranensis
Lineage: Eukaryota; Viridiplantae; Streptophyta; Magnoliopsida; Fabales; Fabaceae
Exons: 17
Source: RefSeq, a predicted model, not a curated record